This 250-nucleotide ribosomal RNA is filed under the name uncultured prokaryote. Its description in RNAcentral is "partial 16S ribosomal RNA". It matches the Rfam family "Bacterial small subunit ribosomal RNA", at positions 524 to 773 of the family's 1533-position model. The record is from RNAcentral.
UACGUAGGGGGCGAGCGUUAUCCGGAAUUAUUGGGCGUAAAGAGUACGUAGGCGCGAAAUUAAGCACAGGGUUUAAGGCAACGGCUUAACCGCUGUUCGCCCUGUGAACUGAUUUUCUUGAGUGCAGGGGGGGGAAAGCGGAAUUCCUAGUGUAGCGGUGAAAUGCGUAGAUAUUAGGAUGAACACCAGUGGCGAAGGCGGCUUUCUGGACUGUAACUGACGCUGAGGUACGAAAGUGUGGGGAGCAAAC